AGCCAAUCAGCGCCCUGCUCUGUGCCUCCACCAGCAGCACCCCCGUGGAUCACGUGACCCCUUUGCCUCGGCCUUGGGGGGCAUGUCAGUGAGUUAUCGCGAGAAGGGACGGAAGCCUGUUGGGGACCUGGCCUUUAAUGUGCGGUUCGACCCGUCUGCCCGGGGGUCCUCUCAAUAGCUAAAACCUCUGACCUACUUGUGGCCCACCAAGAAGACGUUUUAUGUGAGGCAGCACUGGUGUCCAGACAUUCAAAGCAUGAUGGUUAUAUUCUAGGGCUUGAAAAUCUUCCCUGAUGCGAUCCUCUCUUGCCUCAGGAUUAAGUUUGCUAAUUGGAGCUUUCCGCUUGUGUUCUAGGAAUCUGAGAGAAGCUGUUCCAGCCCCUCCAGUUCAUUGCCAUGAAAAGGAGAAUGUGAUUAAACUGCUCACCUUAUGAAAUUUGGCUUACAUGUGAAUCUGCCAGGU
RNAcentral lists this long non-coding RNA (463 nucleotides) under Terrapene triunguis (Three-toed box turtle). RNAcentral's name for it is "Terrapene carolina triunguis (Three-toed box turtle) lncRNA (ENSTMTG00000016307.1)". Lineage: Eukaryota; Metazoa; Chordata; Testudines; Emydidae. The record is from RNAcentral.